CUGGUUCAGAACGAACGCUGGCGGCGUAGCUUAACACAUGCAAGUCGAACGCGAAAGGGACUUCGGUCCUGAGUAAAGUGGCGCACGGGUGAGUAACGCGUAGAUAACCUGUCUUCAUGUCUGGAAUAAUACGCCAAAGGGGUACUAAUACCGGAUAUUCUUGCUUUUCAUAAGUUAUGCAAGCAAAGGUGGCCUCUGCAUAUGCUACUGCAUGAAGAGGGGUCUGCGUACCAUUAGCUAGUAGGUGGGGUAAUGGCCUACCUAGGCGACGAUGGUUAGCGGGUCUGAGAGGAUGAUCCGCCACACUGGCACUGGAACACGGGCCAGACCCCUACGGGAGGCAGCAGUGAGGAAUAUUGCGCAAUGGGGGAAACCCUGACGCAGCGACGCCGCGUGAGUGAAGGAAGGCCUUCGGGUCGUAAAGCUCUGUCAAGAGGAAAGAAGUGUACAAUGGCUAAUACCUGUUGUAUUUGACGGUACCUCUAAAGGAAGCACCGGCUAACUCCGUGCCAGCAGCCGC
RNAcentral lists this ribosomal RNA (520 nucleotides) under uncultured bacterium. RNAcentral describes it as "bacterial SSU rRNA". It matches the Rfam family "Bacterial small subunit ribosomal RNA", at positions 19 to 518 of the family's 1533-position model. The record is from RNAcentral.